RNAcentral lists this ribosomal RNA (1586 nucleotides) under human gut metagenome. Its description in RNAcentral is "bacterial LSU rRNA". It matches the Rfam family "Bacterial large subunit ribosomal RNA", at positions 888 to 2491 of the family's 2925-position model. The record is from RNAcentral.
GAUCAUUGAUGGGGGUAGAGCACUGAAUGUGCGCGGGGGCCACAAAGCCUACCAAACGCUAUCAAACUUCGAAUACCAUACAAUGCAGACCAUGGGAGUCAGUCCGCGAGAGAUAAGUUCCGCGGGCAAAAGGGGAACACCCCAGAUCAACCGCUAAGGUCCCCAAGUUCACGUUAAGUGGAGAAGGAUGUGGAAUUGCACAGACAACCAGGAUGUUGGCUCAGAAGCAGCCACACAUUUAAAGAGUGCGUAAUAGCUCACUGGUCGAGUGAUUGUGCGCCGAAGAUGUCCGGGGCUAAACGUGACACCGAAGCGAUGGGUGCAUCUGAAAGGAUGCGCGGUAGAGGAGCAAUGUGCAGAGGCAGAAGCCGUAUCGAGAGGCACGGUGGACACUGCACAAGAGAGAAUGCCGGUAUGAGUAGCGAGAGGCAUGCGAGAAACAUGCCCGUCGAAAGCCCAAGGUUUCCUGGGGAAGGUUCAUCCGCCCAGGGUAAGUCGGGGCCUAAGCCGAGGACGGAAGUCGUAGGCGAUGGACAGCAGGUGUAGAUUCCUGCACUACCGAUGGAAUGAAGCAGUGACACAGAAGGAUAACUCGAGCAGGGUGAUGGUCAACCCUGUGCAAGCAUCAAGGUUGGGUUGUAGUGAAGUACGCAAUCCUAUAAGCUGAGAUGUGAUGCGGACCGAAAUUUCAGUAGGGAAGCGAGUGAGUUCACGCUGGCGAGAAAAGCUGCUAGUACAUCCAAAGGUACCCGUACCGGAAACCGACGCAGGUGGGCGAGGAGAGAAUCCUGAGACGAACGGGAGAACCCUUGUUAAGGAACUCGGCAAAAUGACCCCGUAACUUCGGGAGAAGGGGUGCCUCGAAAGAGGCCGCAGAGAAUAGUCACAAGCGACUGUUUAGCAAAAACACAGGUAUCUGCGAAAGCGAGAGCUGACGUAUAGGUGCUGACACCUGCCCGGUGCUGGAAGGUUAAGGGAACAUGUUAGAGCAAUCGAAGCAUCGAACCGAAGCCCCAGUAAACGGCGGCCGUAACUAUAACGGUCCUAAGGUAGCGAAAUUCCUUGUCGGGUAAGUUCCGACCCGCACGAAUGGUGUAACGACUUGUGAGCUGUCUCAACAGGGGGCCCGGUGAAAUUGAAGUAUGGGUGAAGAUGCCCAUUACCCGCGACUGGACGGAAAGACCCCGUAGAGCUUUACUGCAGCCUGAUAUUGAGUUUCGGUAACUGAUGCACAGGAUAGGUGGGAGUCUGAGAGACAUGGGUUUCGGCUCAUGUGGAGACGAUGUUGGGAUACCACUCUUCGGUUACUGAAAUUCUAACAUAGCUCUGUGAAACCAGAGGAUGGACAGUGUCAGGUGGACAGUUUGACUGGGGCGGUCGCCUCCGAAAGAGUAACGGAGGCGCCCAAAGGUACCCUCAGAAUGGAUGGAAACCAUUCGAAGAGCGCAAAGGCAGAAGGGUGCCUGACUGCGAGAUUGACAAAUCGAGCAGAGACGAAAGUCGGGCUUAGUGAUCCGGCGGUAUUGAGUGGAAAAGCCGUCGCUUAACGGAUAAAAGCUACCUCGGGGAUAACAGGCUGAUCUCCC